UACGGGGGGGGCAAGCGUUGUUCGGAAUAACUGGGCUUAAAGGGCGCGUAGGCGGGCUGUCAAGUCUGGGGUGAAAUCCCGCGGCUCAACCGCGGAACUGCCUCAGAUACUGACGGCCUCGAGGGAGGUAGGGGCGAGCGGAACGAAUGGUGGAGCGGUGAAAUGCGUUGAUAUCAGGAGGAACACCGGUGGCGAAGGCGGGUCUCUGGGCCGAUACUGACGCUGAGGAGCGAAAGCGUGGGGAGCGAACAGG
RNAcentral lists this ribosomal RNA (253 nucleotides) under uncultured bacterium. RNAcentral's name for it is "partial 16S ribosomal RNA". It matches the Rfam family "Bacterial small subunit ribosomal RNA", at positions 524 to 776 of the family's 1533-position model. The record is from RNAcentral.